Bos taurus (domestic cattle) is the source of this 72-nucleotide non-coding RNA. The record is from Rfam. NCBI's taxonomy places the organism in Eukaryota, Metazoa, Chordata, Mammalia, Artiodactyla, Bovidae.
UCCCUGGUGGCUUAGCCGGUAAAGAAUCUGCCUGCAAUGCGGGAGACCUGGGUUCAAUCCCUGGGUUGGGAA